RNAcentral lists this ribosomal RNA (511 nucleotides) under uncultured bacterium. RNAcentral describes it as "bacterial SSU rRNA". It matches the Rfam family "Bacterial small subunit ribosomal RNA", at positions 28 to 526 of the family's 1533-position model. The record is from RNAcentral.
GACGAACGCUGGCGGCGCGCUUAACACAUGCAAGUCGAGCGAGAACCAGGUCUUCGGACCUGGGGAAAGCGGCGAACGGGUGAGUAACACGUGAGUAAUCCACCCUCGGCACCGGGAUAGCCCGGGGAAACUCGGAUUAAUACCGGAUGGCCCAACAGCUCUUCGGGGCGGUUGGAAAAGGUAGCUUCGGCCUCCGGCCGAGGACGAGCUCGCGGCGGAUUAGCUUGUUGGUGGGGUAAUGGCCUACCAAGGCGACGAUCCGUAGCUGGUCUGAGAGGACGAUCAGCCACACUGGGACUGAGACACGGCCCAGACUCCUACGGGAGGCAGCAGUGGGGAAUCUUGCACAAUGGGCGAAAGCCUGAUGCAGCGACGCCGCGUGAGGGAAGAAGGCUUUCGGGUUGUAAACCUCUUUCAGGAGGGACGAAGCUACUCGGGUUAAUAGCCCAGAGGGUGACGGUACCUCCAGAAGAAGCCCCGGCUAACUACGUGCCAGCCGCCGCCGUAAAAC